UGGGGAAUUUUGCGCAAUGGGCGAAAGCCUGACGCAGCAACGCCGCGUGGGUGAUGAAGGUCUUCGGAUCGUAAAACCCUGUCGUCAGGGACGAAGGUUGCGAGUUUAAGAGAUGCGCAACUUGACGGUACCUGGAGAGGAAGCCCCGGCUAACUCUGUGCCAGCAGCCGCGGUAAUACAGAGGGGGCAAGCGUUAUUCGGAAUGCUUGGGCGUAAAGGGCGCGUAGGCGGUUUGUUAAGUCAGAUGUGUAAUCCCCGAGCUCAACUUGGGAACUGCAUCUGAGACUGGGAGGCUAGAGUACUGGAGAGGGUGGUAGAAUUCCACGUGUAGCGGUGAAAUGCGUAGAGAUGUGGAGGAAUACCAGUGGCGAAGGCGGCCACCUGGACAGUAACUGACGCUGAGGCGCGAAAGUGUGGGUAGCAAACA
RNAcentral lists this ribosomal RNA (427 nucleotides) under uncultured prokaryote. Its description in RNAcentral is "bacterial SSU rRNA". It matches the Rfam family "Bacterial small subunit ribosomal RNA", at positions 355 to 774 of the family's 1533-position model. The record is from RNAcentral.